This 400-nucleotide ribosomal RNA is filed under the name uncultured bacterium. RNAcentral describes it as "bacterial SSU rRNA". It matches the Rfam family "Bacterial small subunit ribosomal RNA", at positions 358 to 775 of the family's 1533-position model. The record is from RNAcentral.
GGAAUAUUGGACAAUGGGCGCAAGCCUGAUCCAGCCAUGCCGCGUGAGUGAUGACGGCCCUAGGGUUGUAAAGCUCUUUCACCGGUGAAGAUAAUGACGGUAACCGGAGAAGAAGCCCCGGCUAACUUCGUGCCAGCAGCCGCGGUAAUACGAAGGGGGCUAGCGUUGUUCGGAAUUACUGGGCGUAAAGCGCACGUAGGCGGAUACUUAAGUUAGGGGUGAAAUCCCGGGGCUCAACCCCGGAACUGCCUUUAAUACUGGGUAUCUCGAGUUCGAGAGAGGUGAGUGGAAUUCCGAGUGUAGAGGUGAAAUUCGUAGAUAUUCGGAGGAACACCAGUGGCGAAGGCGGCUCACUGGCUCGAUACUGACGCUGAGGUGCGAAAGCGUGGGGAGCAAACAG